GACGAACGCUGGCGGCGUGCCUAAUACAUGCAAGUCGAGCGGACUGAAUGGGAGCUUGCUCUUGUUCGGUCAGCGGCGGACGGGUGAGUAACACGUGGGCAACCUGCCCGCAAGACCGGGAUAACUCCGGGAAACCGGAGCUAAUACCGGAUAACACCGAAGACCGCAUGGUCUUUGGUUGAAAGGCGGCGCAAGCUGCCACUUGCGGAUGGGCCCGCGGCGCAUUAGUUAGUUGGUGAGGUAACGGCUCACCAAGGCGACGAUGCGUAGCCGGCCUGAGAGGGUGACCGGCCACACUGGGACUGAGACACGGCCCAGACUCCUACGGGAGGCAGCAGUAGGGAAUCUUCCGCAAUGGGCGAAAGCCUGACGGAGCGACGCCGCGUGAGCGAAGAAGGCCUUCGGGUCGUAAAGCUCUGUUGUGAGGGACGAAGGAGCGCCGUUUGAAGAAGGCGGCGCGGUGACGGUACCUCACGAGGAAGCCCGGGCUAACUACGUG
This 499-nucleotide ribosomal RNA is filed under the name uncultured bacterium. RNAcentral's name for it is "partial 16S ribosomal RNA". It matches the Rfam family "Bacterial small subunit ribosomal RNA", at positions 28 to 507 of the family's 1533-position model. The record is from RNAcentral.